GUGGGGGAUAUUGGUCAAUGGGGGAAACCCUGAACCAGCAAUGCCGCGUGAGGGAAGAAGGUCUUCGGAUUGUAAACCUAAGUAGUCAGGGACGAAAAAAAUGACGGUACCUGAAGAGUAAGCUCCGGCUAACUACGUGCCAGCAGCCGCGGUAAUACGUAGGGAGCGAGCGUUGUCCGGAUUUACUGGGUGUAAAGGGUGCGUAGGCGGGUCGGCAAGUCAGAUGUGAAAUACCGGGGCUUAACUCCGGGGCUGCAUUUGAAACUGUUGAUCUUGAGUGAAGUAGAGGCAGGCGGAAUUCCUAGUGUAGCGGUGGAAUGCGUAGAUAUUAGGAGGAACACCAGUGGCGAAGGCGGCCUGCUGGGCUUUAACUGACGCUGAGGCACGAAAGCAUGGGGAGCAAACAGGAUUAGAAACCCCUGUAGUCC
RNAcentral lists this ribosomal RNA (428 nucleotides) under uncultured bacterium. RNAcentral describes it as "bacterial SSU rRNA". It matches the Rfam family "Bacterial small subunit ribosomal RNA", at positions 354 to 796 of the family's 1533-position model. The record is from RNAcentral.